GGACAUAGCUUAAUUGAUAGAGUGCUUGCCUUGCAUGCACAAAGCCCUGGGUUCAAUCCCCAGCAUGACCA
This 71-nucleotide transfer RNA is filed under the name Ictidomys tridecemlineatus (thirteen-lined ground squirrel). RNAcentral's name for it is "Spermophilus tridecemlineatus (thirteen-lined ground squirrel) tRNA". It matches the Rfam family "tRNA". From Rfam's summary of the family: Transfer RNA (tRNA) molecules are approximately 80 nucleotides in length. RNAcentral also lists the same sequence under 1 other name. The record is from Rfam by way of RNAcentral. Lineage: Eukaryota; Metazoa; Chordata; Mammalia; Rodentia; Sciuridae.